This 253-nucleotide ribosomal RNA is filed under the name uncultured bacterium. RNAcentral describes it as "partial 16S ribosomal RNA". It matches the Rfam family "Bacterial small subunit ribosomal RNA", at positions 524 to 776 of the family's 1533-position model. The record is from RNAcentral.
UACGUAGGUGGCAAGCGUUGUCCGGAAUUAUUGGGCGUAAAGCGCGCGCAGGUGGUUUCUUAAGUCUGAUGUGAAAGCCCACGGCUCAACCGUGGAGGGUCAUUGGAAACUGGGGAACUUGAGUGCAGGAGAGAAGAGUGGAAUUCCACGUGUAGCGGUGAAAUGCGUAGAGAUGUGGGGGAACACCAGUGGCGAAGGCGGCUCUUUGGUCUGUAACUGACGCUGAGGCGCGAAAGCGUGGGGAGCGAACAGG